RNAcentral lists this ribosomal RNA (610 nucleotides) under uncultured bacterium. RNAcentral describes it as "bacterial SSU rRNA". It matches the Rfam family "Bacterial small subunit ribosomal RNA", at positions 36 to 692 of the family's 1533-position model. The record is from RNAcentral.
CUGGCGGCGUGCUUAACACAUGCAAGUCGAACGAACCUUCGGGUUAGUGGCGGACGGGUGAGUAACGCGUGAGAAUCUGCCCUCAGGAGGGGGACAACAGCUGGAAACGGCUGCUAAUACCCCAUAUGCCGCGAGGUGAAAUGAAUUUCGCCUGAGGAUGAGCUCGCGUCUGAUUAGCUAGUUGGUGUAGGUAAUGGCUCACCAAGGCAUCGAUCAGUAGCUGGUCUGAGAGGAUGAUCAGCCACACUGGGACUGAGACACGGCCCAGACUCCUACGGGAGGCAGCAGUGGGGAAUUUUCCGCAAUGGGCGAAAGCCUGACGGAGCAACGCCGCGUGAGGGAUGAAGGCCUCUGGGCUGUAAACCUCUUUUAUCAAGGAAGAAGAUCUGACGGUACUUGAUGAAUAAGCCACGGCUAAUUCCGUGCCAGCAGCCGCGGUAAUACGGGAGUGGCAAGCGUUAUCCGGAAUUAUUGGGCGUAAAGCGUCCGCAGGCGGCCCUUCAAGUCUGCUGUUAAAAAGUGGAGCUUAACUCCAUCAUGGCAGUGGAAACUGUUGGGCUUGAGUGUGGUAGGGGCAGAGGGAAUUCCCGGUGUAGCGGUGAAAUGCGUA